UACGGAGGGGGCUAGCGUUGUUCGGAAUUACUGGGCGUAAAGCGCACGUAGGCGGCUUUGUAAGUUAGAGGUGAAAGCCCGGGGCUCAACUCCGGAAUUGCCUUUAAGACUGCAGAGCUUGAAUCACGGAGAGGUGAGUGGAAUUCCGAGUGUAGAGGUGAAAUUCGUAGAUAUUCGGAAGAACACCAGUGGCGAAGGCGGCUCACUGGACGUGUAUUGACGCUGAGGUACGAAAGCGUGGGGAGCAAACAGG
RNAcentral lists this ribosomal RNA (253 nucleotides) under uncultured bacterium. RNAcentral's name for it is "partial 16S ribosomal RNA". It matches the Rfam family "Bacterial small subunit ribosomal RNA", at positions 524 to 776 of the family's 1533-position model. The record is from RNAcentral.